GCGCCGGGACCGGGCAGCGGGGAGCGCGAGCGCGGGACGAGCGCGGGUUCAAUUAGCGAGACAAAGCAAUCAUGGCGGAGCAGGCACACCGGGCUGCGCGCCCCGAGGACUCGGCGACCGCCCCGCGCCCUGGCCGACACAUGAGACUAUUGCCCUCCUGAAAACAUCAACUGCUCUUCCAGAAUGGGAUAGUAAGAUUUUCAGUCCACUCUGCUAAGUGUUGUGGUGAGCAGAGCGAGUCCGCUGCCUUUGGACCUACCAGUUUGGGCUUCUCCCAGAAGCAGAAAACCAACUAUAAAUAUGAAAUCAAUUUCACUACUGGACCCAGACUUCACAUCAGAAACAAACUUCUCACCUAAGUGUCUGCAAUGCAAACAGCAGAAUCAAGGACAUAAGCGUGUAUCCUAUUUUAACCUGCCCAUGCAGGCAUCGGCACCUGACUGUAAUUUGGGGACCACAAAUUGCAGUGGUUCAGCACUUGUGGCUCUCUAAUAGAUGAAUUUACAAGUUUUUGAAGGCGAUAAAAACAGAUGGUAACCUCAGUGAUGGAAAUGAUCAUAGGUUACAAAAAAUGUAUAUCGCUUUAAAGAGAAUUCUAAUCAGCUGUCAACAGUAGCUCAAGAAAUGCCCAUCCGUCAUCCUUUACAUCGAAUCUCCAGCCAUUGCACCCAAGUGGAGAGACAGUCAGCCCCCCGUGCUAGGACCUGCAAAAUCAAGUACAUGAGAGCCCCAUGGUGAGAACUACAAGGAAGACGCUGUGUCAUGAGCGUGUAACGGAUUUGAAUGAGACUGAUGCCACUUUCGUUAUUUGCAAGAGAACUCGAACCCACCUUGGCGACAGGAACUGCCACCAAAGGGCCUCAUUAAAACAGCAGUCAGCACCUUGGUGAAAAGAUACAGUGCUCGGCGUGCCCAAAUGUGACAGAAAAUCUGCAUUUUGUAAAUCUGACACCUUUGAUAGAUUAUACAGUGUGAAGCCAUUUCUUCGAAGCAUUAUGAUAACGCUAAAGGUUCUCUUCUGAAUCCAACUUUGUUGCAUUCGCUAGCUACAACAAUGUGAAAAGGGGCCAACUGAAGAAAAUGAUGUGAUGUAAAGCUCUGCAUGCAAAGGGGUGAGAACACAGCUGUGGGCUUUUCCGAGGGCCACUUCAUCUCGGGGUAACACUGCUCUGCGUCCGAGGAGAUUGCUUACGGAUACAGCAGUGUCUGUGAGGAAGAGUACUUAGGCUUGCCGACGAAGAAAUUCGUGUUAGAUCCUACAUGAGAAUGAUCACCGGCUUUUCAUCCUAAAUCAACAAACCAACAAACAAAAAGCAGAUAAAAAGACAAAUGAAAAGAACCAAACAAUGUUUCACAAGUGCACCCAGACUAAGGGAGUCGGUGAAAACUUUGUUCUUUAUUUCACAAAAGACACCUGGGAAAGCUGAGACUCUGGAAUGGCGCAAUGUAAUGUACACAUGCUGCAAACAUGGACAAAGCUUCUCACUUAACUCAAGAUAACUGCCCUAGCAGAACCGGAUGUUUAAAUGACGGAUGGAUUGUAGAAGUCUUGCUGCAGUUUUCCGAAGUGAAGACUCCAUUCUCACCAUACCUUCUCCCAACCCAGAAGAAGAGUUGGCUUGUCCCUUUGCCUGGGGAGUCUGGUUCCCAGUGCUCCAUUCAGGGGUUUUUAUGUGGACAAUAAGCAGAUGACAGAGGUGGGAAAAAAAGAAGACUCCACAGAAGAAAUUGCCUCCAACAGUUCUGUUAGAUGUAGAUUUAUACUUUCGCUGUCGCCAUAGGGCACCAUGGUGUUGCUUUAUAACAGAACUUUCAUAACAUUCUCUGAUAUUUGGCUUUGAAGUUAAUAGUUUGCAUUGCCAUCUAACUGAGCACUGUCGUAGGGCUGAGCACUGUACUAUGACUGGACACUGUCCCUGUCAAUUAUUCCUGGCUAUUCCAGCAAGAGGAGGCAAGUCCACAUCCCACUUUCCCAGGACUUCACUCUUUUUGCUUAAAUGAGACUGCAGCGAUCUCUUUACUCAGAAAAAAAAAAAAAAAUCUCUCAAAUAGACGUCCAGACCAUUUGAUGUGUAUGAUUUAUAAAUUUCAUGAUGAAUGUACAAGCUAUUUAGUAUAAUAGUAAAGUAUCUUUACUCAAUGGAGAAAUAAUAGAAAAGGUUACUAAGCCUCACUUUGCCUUACGUUUUGAAUGCACAGCUUGGCAACAGAGUGCUAUGUAUAACAGCUGUAAUUCAAAUGAAGACACAUCUGCCUGUUUAUAUUUUCAUACUGAAAGUGUUCGAGGACAGAUUGAUAAUCAGAUUUAGACAUGCCAAGGCAAUCCCUUGUUCUUUCUGAAAUACGCGUUGCCGUUUAGUCCUGUUGACAUUCCCUUCUUAGGGUUUGGUGUACCCUGGCUUUGAGUUCAUUUACUAAAAGGGUUGGAUUUUUUCCCUCAUUGUGAUAAGAGAAACCAGUUUCCAUUUAAAUGAUUCCAUUUACGUAUUUGUUGUUAUUAAUGCAGCUUAUAAAGGAAACAUUUCAAUGAGGGGAACCUUGAGAGUAAUCCUUGACACUCUGGAAGGGAUAUGGCUUUAAAAAAGAAGAAAAAAUAAUAAUCUUGAGUCAGUCCCUUCCUUCCUUCCUUCCUUCCUUCCUUCCUUCCUUCCUUCCUUCCUUCCUUCCUUCCUUCCUUUCUUUCUCUUUUUUUUGGAGGGGUUGGUGGUCAGAGCUAUUAAAUUUUAGUCAAUUGCUGGAGGGAGUGACAACCUUCUUGGCUGAGACACCUACUUGAAAUUACACUUAGGGAGAAAAGAGAGAGGCAGAGAGAAUUGCUUCAUCAGACCAGCCAAUCCCGAGACUCUUACUGUUCUUAAUUGUUGACCUCUCCCAUGUGGGUCAUGCGAUGUGGUAGCAACUCUCCCUUCAAAUAAAGAUCCUUCGUACCUCAUCAGAAUGCGCUUGUUAGCAAUGAUAAUGGUUCACAAUCUGCACUUAGCCACGUGAAAUACAAUGUUCUCCUUUAGAAUGUGGAGGUUUCAGGCCUAAAUUAAUACCUUGGUAUGUGUGUCAUUAUAUUAUCUGAAAAUCAUUUGAUACGAAAGGCAAAAUAUCUGUGUGAUGCUUUUGUUCUCCAAAGAGUUUGAAGUACAGAAUAUAUUGAAUUUGGGAGAAAAAGUUAUUGUGUGCUAUCUACUGCUAAUUGCUGAAUAUCCUUUAGCCUUUAAAAUGCUGUCUUUACUUAGGAGGUUCCAGUAUUUGAAAAUAAAAUGCAUUUUAGAAAGUUAUAUUUUUCUCAUCAAAUAUUUGAAACGUAAGCUGCUUUAUAUUAGUGGGUCUGAGCUUCUUUAAAAAAAAAAAAAAAAAAAAAAAACACCUUUUAGAGUGAAUUCUCUUGGUGUACGUGUCUGGCCUUGCCCUACAAACUGAACUUAAACAGGGCAUCAUGAAUAGAAUGUGUGGCUUUAAAAUUCAAUGGAUUAUUCACAUCUGUUAGGUGCGAAUUAAAGAGUACGGAAACAGUCCAUUCUUAUGUCUCCGAGCUGUCACUGCCAAAGGCUACUGACUAGUCUGUGUCAACAUCUGUGUUAGCUCUUCUGUAGCUUUCUUGAAUCUGUGUGACUGAACAUUUUAUUUACCGCUGGAAUUUUUUUUAGAAGUAGUUUUAAGCCUAUGCUUGAUGCAUUAUUUUACUGAAAGUUAUUAUUAGAAGUAGUGGCUUUCUAUGUACAGUUAGCUGGAAAGAACAUUAGCCAAAUGUUGUGAUUCAUAUUAUUGAAAGGAC
Long non-coding RNA from Chionomys nivalis (European snow vole), 3766 nucleotides. RefSeq lists it as uncharacterized. The transcript has 8 exons. NCBI's taxonomy places the organism in Eukaryota, Metazoa, Chordata, Mammalia, Rodentia, Cricetidae. The record is from RefSeq and is a predicted model, not a curated record.